Colias croceus (clouded yellow) is the source of this 493-nucleotide long non-coding RNA. RefSeq lists it as uncharacterized. The record is from RefSeq and is a predicted model, not a curated record. The transcript has 2 exons. NCBI's taxonomy places the organism in Eukaryota, Metazoa, Arthropoda, Insecta, Lepidoptera, Pieridae.
CAUUUCUCGAAAACUAUCAGUCGUAGGUAGGUAUCGGUCUCCGAAAACUGAAUACCACCCCACCAGAGCCUCGCUAGUCGUUUGCCGUUGGGCAGAGAGCGCGUACGCAUUAACGGCAGCCAUUUUUCGUUUUUGUCAUCGCGCGAUGUAAUUUUUUACCUAACUUCGUAAGCUCAUAACUUCAUAAAAUAUUACUGUAUGGAAAAGUGAAUUAUACCAGGGGAAAGGAUAACAUCUACAAAUACAGACAAACAUGGGAUAAGGAGGCAAUGGCUAAUGCAAUUAAAGCAGUAGAGGGGCCUUCUAAUGACCCAGCGCGCGAUAUAACGACACCGGUUGAUAUAAUUCCUGAUAACCUGAUACCUCAGCAAAGGGCUGUUGUACCUGAACCCGAUAACUGCUUACUUGAGACAAAGGCUGUUGCAUCUCCCACACCUUAAUCUGUAAUUGAACCAUCACCCCAGACUCGUUGAUGGACAUCAUGAAGCAAAUG